UACGAAGGUGGCAAGCGUUACUCGGAAUUACUAGGUGUAAAGCGCAGGUAGGUGGUUGGGUAAGUCCGUCAUGAAAUCUCCCGGCUUAACCGGGAGGGGCUGAUGGAUACUGCCUGGCUAGAGUGUGGGAGAGGUAACUGGAAUUCCACGUGUAGCGGUGAAAUGCGUAGAGAUGUGGAGGGACACCAGUGGCGAAGGCGACUCUUUGGCCUAUAACUGACGCUGAGGCGCGAAAGCGUGGGGAGCAAACAGG
Molecule: unclassified non-coding RNA, 253 nt
Filed under: uncultured Caryophanales bacterium
Lineage: Bacteria; Bacillati; Bacillota; Bacilli; Caryophanales
Description: uncultured Bacillales bacterium contains 16S-23S intergenic spacer region
Rfam family: Bacterial small subunit ribosomal RNA
Source: RNAcentral